CUCGUCCGUGAUGUUUUUACCCCAAUAAUUUGAGUUUGACUGACCAUGAGAAGACGUUACAUGCACUCCCAUCUGAGACGGC
Molecule: small nucleolar RNA, 82 nt
Organism: Salarias fasciatus (jewelled blenny)
Lineage: Eukaryota; Metazoa; Chordata; Actinopteri; Blenniiformes; Blenniidae
Source: Ensembl